This 451-nucleotide ribosomal RNA is filed under the name uncultured organism. Its description in RNAcentral is "partial 16S ribosomal RNA". It matches the Rfam family "Bacterial small subunit ribosomal RNA", at positions 332 to 799 of the family's 1533-position model. The record is from RNAcentral.
UACACUCCUGCGGGAGGCAGCAGUGGGGAAUAUUGGACAAUGGGCGCAAGCCUGAUCCAGCCAUGCCGCGUGAGUGAUGAAGGCCCUAGGGUUGUAAAGCUCUUUCACCGGUGAAGAUAAUGACGGUAACCGGAGAAGAAGCCCCGGCUAACUUCGUGCCAGCAGCCGCGGUAAUACGAAGGGGGCUAGCGUUGUUCGGAUUUACUGGGCGUAAAGCGCACGUAGGCGGACUAUUAAGUUAGGGGUGAAAUCCCGGGGCUCAACCCCGGAACUGCCUUUGAUACUGGUAGUCUUGAGUUCGAGAGAGGUGAGUGGAAUUCCGAGUGUAGAGGUGAAAUUCGUAGAUAUUCGGAGGAACACCAGUGGCGAAGGCGGCUCACUGGCUCGAUACUGACGCUGAGGUGCGAAAGCGUGGGGAGCAAACAGGAUUAGAAACCCGAGUAGUCCCAUG